Molecule: long non-coding RNA, 2122 nt
Organism: Sorex fumeus (smoky shrew)
Lineage: Eukaryota; Metazoa; Chordata; Mammalia; Eulipotyphla; Soricidae
Exons: 5
Source: RefSeq, a predicted model, not a curated record
GUUUAUUUAUCAAAGUAGUUUGGCUGAAUAAAAAUUGUAGAACCUUCUCCAGGAUUAAAUUUGUAAAGAACAUCACUUGAAGGAGAUAAAAUCUUCACAAAAAAGGGGUCACUCACAGCAGUACUCGAGGGACCAUACACUAUGCUGGGAAACAAAACUGGGUUGGCUGCAUUCAAGGUGUGGGCUGGAGCGAUAGCACAACAGUAGGGCAUUUGCCUUGCAUGCAGCCGGCCAGCUGAGUGAGGUUCGAUUCCUCCGCCCCUAACGGAGAGCCCGGCAAGCUACCAAGAGUAUCUUGCCUGCACGGCAAAGCCUGGAGAGCUACCCGUGACGUAUUCAAUGUGCCAGACACAGUAACAAGUCUCACGAUGGAGACGUUACUGGGCCCGCUCGAGCAAAUGCAUGAACAACAGGAGGACAGUGCUACAGUACUACGCAGUUGAAGAAGGCAAAGAUCCUUAAAGAAAUGGUUGAUUUCAGGACUGGGGCAAGACCUAAUCAAGAUGAACCUGAAGCAUCAUGUGACACCACAAAGAGAGGGAAUGAGUGUAGAAGAAAUAGCUAAGAGGACGGAAGAACCUAUGGCUCCGGGCACAUCUCUUUGACUCCACCGGUCUUCCUGCAUUAACAUACGCCUCAGAGGCCUAGGCCCUACAAAAACAGGAUGAGAACGGGUCUCCCAAAGAGGAAUCGAAAGAGCUAUGCUUAGAAUAUCACGCUUCACUCAAGUGAGAGAAGGAAUCCGAAGUUCCGACCUCCAACGACGAUUGAAAAUCAGGGACGCUGUCUUGUUUGCCAAGGCACUGAAAAUCAGAUGGGUUGGACACGUAACACGAUUUGAAGAUGACUGCUGGACUAGAGCCGUUACACAGGAUGUCAAAAGAUAGUGUGGCCACCCACCUACGAGAUGGUCAGACUUCUUCAUCAAGACCCUGAAUGAACAGUUUGAGACUUUGUGUUCCUGGAGCAAGCAGACACCAUUGGGCUACACUAGCACGCGAUAGGGACAAAUGGAGACAUUACUGGUGCCCGCUUGAACAAACUGAUGAGUAACAGACUGGCAAGUGAUCAAGUGAUAUUUCGUUUUGGGGCCACACCUGACUAUUCUCAGGAUUUACUCCUGACACUGAACUCAGGGAUAACUCUUGGCAAGGCACAAGGAAUCAUAGUGGAUGGCAGGUGUGGCUGUAAGCACUUUAUCUGCUGUACUAUCUUUCCGUCCCCAGAGAACAAUCCCCCCACCCACCCCAAUAUAUUUUAAAUAUGCCAAAAUAAUGUAAUAUGUAAUCUUGGUUUAAAAAAACAUUUUGGGAGAGCUAAGCUUUAAAUGUACUAUUUUGCUAUCUUAUUGACAUUUUCUAAUUCCCAAAUACCAGGGGUUAUGCUUUAUGACCUAAAUAUUAUUGCGAUAUUAGACUUACAAAGAGAUCACGAAACCAGAUUAUUGCUGUUCCUUCCUUUUGGAACUCGUAACUUUUCAUACUCCCCUUCAACCUGGCAUCAAGCUUUGCAAAUGCCUGAGGUCCCAGUGAUUUUUCACACCUAAUUUGGGCUCAGUAUCAUCACCACCCCUUCAAAGCAAGCUUGUCAAGGUCAAAAGAUUAAGUGACACCAAAUAACUUCCAUUCUACAUUUCUCCUCACCCAGGGUUAAACCUUGACACAGAAGAGAAACAACUCCAUGCUCAGGUUCUUUAUGGCAUGCUGAGCAAAGAUCCAGAUUGCUACACAUUGAUUAGUAGAGCUGAAAACAAUGAAAUUAUCAAGUUUUGUGUAUAACUGAGCAUAUCAGUCUGUCAAUAUAAAAUACAUUUUUCCACAAAAUAAUAAUUUUGGUAUCAGCUAAGACUACCACUACUACAGUCACCCAAAAUGUAAGCCCUUUCAAUAAUUAAUCCCCUCUAAAUAAAACCCAUUUUUCCUACUGCACUGAUCUCAUUCACUUCUGUUGUAUUCUCUGUACCCUCCACCUCUACCACCAUCACACUUUCACAAUAAUUUUAUUUCCUAGCAGUCCAUUAUGCUAUUCUAUUAUAAAUAAAUGCCUUAAAAUCUGAACAAUUUUACAUUCAGUCUUAUCUAAAUUAAAAUGAAGAGCAAGCUAUUCUUUCUCUCACCUUACA